AUUAAACGCUGGCGGCAUGCCUUACACAUGCAAGUCGAACGGCAGCACGGGGGCAACCCUGGUGGCGAGUGGCGGACGGGUGAGUAAAGCAUCGGAACGUAUCCUGGAGUGGGGGAUAACGUAGCGAAAGUUACGCUAAUACCGCAUAUUCUGUGAGCAGGAAAGCAGGGGAUCGCAAGACCUUGCGCUCUGGGAGCGGCCGAUGUCGGAUUAGCUAGUUGGUGGGGUAAAGGCCUACCAAGGCGACGAUCCGUAGCGGGUCUGAGAGGAUGAUCCGCCACACUGGGACUGAGACACGGCCCAGACUCCUACGGGAGGCAGCAGUGGGGAAUUUUGGACAAUGGCGGAAGCCUGAUCCAGCCAUGCCGCGUGAGUGAAGAAGGCCUCGG
This 389-nucleotide ribosomal RNA is filed under the name uncultured bacterium. RNAcentral's name for it is "bacterial SSU rRNA". It matches the Rfam family "Bacterial small subunit ribosomal RNA", at positions 29 to 420 of the family's 1533-position model. The record is from RNAcentral.